CUCGUAGGCGGCUUGGCAAGUCGAUCGUGAAAGCCCGGGGCUUAACCCCGGGACGCCGGUCGAUACUGCCAUGACUUGGGUCCGGUAGAGGAGAAUGGAAUUCCCGGUGUAGCGGUGAAAUGCGCAGAUAUCGGGAGGAACACCAGUAGCGAAGGCGGUUCUCUGGGCCGGUACCGACGCUGAGGAGCGAAAGCUAGGGUAGCGAACAGGAUUAGAUACCCUGGUAGUCC
This 230-nucleotide ribosomal RNA is filed under the name uncultured bacterium. RNAcentral describes it as "partial 16S ribosomal RNA". It matches the Rfam family "Bacterial small subunit ribosomal RNA", at positions 568 to 796 of the family's 1533-position model. The record is from RNAcentral.